This 504-nucleotide non-coding RNA is filed under the name Vairimorpha apis BRL 01. Its description in RNAcentral is "Nosema apis BRL 01 Microsporidia small subunit ribosomal RNA". It matches the Rfam family "Microsporidia small subunit ribosomal RNA", at positions 1 to 498 of the family's 1311-position model. The record is from Rfam by way of RNAcentral. Lineage: Eukaryota; Fungi; Microsporidia; Nosematidae.
CACCAGGUUGAUUCUGCCUGACGUAGACGCUAUUCCCUAAGAUUGACCCAUGCAUGUCUUUGACGUACUAUGUACUGAAAGAUGGACUGCUCAGUAAUACUCACUUUAUUUGAUGUACAUUAUACAUAACUACGUUAAAGUGUAGCUAACAUAUGUACAGUAAGAGUGAGACCUAUCAGCUAGUUGUUAAGGUAAUGGCUUAACAAGGCAAUAACGGGUAACGGUAUUACUUUGUAAUAUUCCGGAGAAGGAGCCUGAGAGACGGCUACUAAGUCUAAGGAUUGCAGCAGGGGCGAAACUUGACCUAUGGAUAUUAUCUGAGGCAGUUAUGGGAAGUAACAUAGUUGUUUCACAUUUUAAACGUAUGUGAGCAGAUUAGUUGGAGGGCAAAUCGAGUGCCAGCAGCCGCGGUAAUACUUGUUCCAAGAGUGUGUAUGAUGAUUGAUGCAGUUAAAAAGUCCGUAGUUUUAUUAUUAAGAAGCAAUAUGAGGUGUACUGUAUAGU